RNAcentral lists this unclassified non-coding RNA (329 nucleotides) under soil metagenome. RNAcentral's name for it is "partial contains 5.8S ribosomal RNA, internal transcribed spacer 2, and large subunit ribosomal RNA". The stretch from base 1 to 120 matches the Rfam family "5.8S ribosomal RNA", at positions 35 to 154 of the family's 154-position model. The record is from RNAcentral.
GAUGAAGAACGUAGCGAAAUGCGAUAAGUAAUGUGAAUUGCAGAAUUCAGUGAAUCAUCGAAUCUUUGAACGCACAUUGUGCCCUCUGGUAUUCCGGGGGGCAUGCCUGUUCGAGCGUCAUUAUAACCACUCAAGCUCUCGCUUGGUAUUGGGGUUCGCGGUUUCGCGGCCCCUAAAAUCAGUGGCGGUGCCUGUCGGCUCUACGCGUAGUAAUACUUCUCGCGAUUGAGUUCGAUAGGUCUACUUGCCAGUAACCCCCAAUUUUUACAGGUUGACCUCGGAUCAGGUAGGGAUACCCGCUGAACUUAAGCAUAUCAAUAAGCGGAGGA